RNAcentral lists this unclassified non-coding RNA (229 nucleotides) under Hevea brasiliensis (rubber tree). Lineage: Eukaryota; Viridiplantae; Streptophyta; Magnoliopsida; Malpighiales; Euphorbiaceae. The record is from RNAcentral.
UUGUCUGCUUAUACACCAAUCCUUGAUAUUAGAGAGCCAGUGCUUAUAUAUCUUCUCAAACCUUUCGGGCAUAAUAUUCAAUUCUCCAUUUGAAACUGCUUCAAGUGCCCUCUCAGCCAAAGGCUCCAUUGUGACGAACCAUUGCUUACUAACUAGAGGUUCUAUAAUUUCUCCACCACGCUGGGAUCUAGGAACUCGUGAAGUGUGAGUCUCUUUCUUUACAGCCAAG